GUGAGGAAUAUUGGUCAAUGGUCGGAAGACUGAACCAGCCAUGCCUCGUGCAGGAAGACGGUCCUAUGGAUUGUAAACUGCUUUUAUUUGGGAAUAAACCUCCUUACGUGUAGGGAGCUGAAGGUACCAAAUGAAUAAGCACCGGCUAACUCCGUGCCAGCAGCCGCGGUAAUACGGAGGGUGCAAGCGUUAUCCGGAAUCAUUGGGUUUAAAGGGUCCGCAGGCGGUCAUAUAAGUCAGUGGUGAAAGCCUACAGCUCAACUGUAGAACUGCCAUUGAUACUGUAUGACUUGAAUUCGAUCGAAGUGGGCGGAAUGUGACAUGUAGCGGUGAAAUGCUUAGAUAUGUCACAGAACACCGAUAGCGAAGGCAGCUCACUAGGUCUGGAUUGACGCUCAGGGACGAAAGCGUGGGGAGCAAACAGGAUUAGAUACCCCGGUAGUCC
RNAcentral lists this ribosomal RNA (445 nucleotides) under uncultured bacterium. RNAcentral describes it as "partial 16S ribosomal RNA". It matches the Rfam family "Bacterial small subunit ribosomal RNA", at positions 354 to 796 of the family's 1533-position model. The record is from RNAcentral.